RNAcentral lists this ribosomal RNA (520 nucleotides) under uncultured prokaryote. RNAcentral describes it as "bacterial SSU rRNA". It matches the Rfam family "Bacterial small subunit ribosomal RNA", at positions 390 to 905 of the family's 1533-position model. The record is from RNAcentral.
AAAGACGCCGGGAGAGGGCGGGCGGUCUCCGGAUCGUAAACCUCUGUCAGGAGGGAACAAACCCUUGGGUUCAAAUAGGGCCCUUGGCUGACGGUACCUCAAAAGGAAGCACCGGCUAACUCCGUGCCAGCAGCCGCGGUAAUACGGAGGGUGCAAGCGUUAAUCGGAAUCACUGGGCGUAAAGCGCUCGUAGGCUGUUUGGUCAGUCAGAUGUGAAAGCCCUCGGCUUAACCGGGGAACUGCAUUUGAUACUGCCAGACUUGAGUGUCGGAGAGGGUGGCGGAAUUCCGGGUGUAGGAGUGAAAUCCGUACAUAUCCGGAGGAACACCAGUGGCGAAGGCGGCCACCUGGACGACAACUGACGCUGAGGAGCGAAAGCGUGGGGAGCAAACAGGAUUAUAUACCCUGGUAGUCCACGCGGUAAACGAUGGAUGCUGGGUGUCGGGGGUUUACCUUCGGUGCCGCAGUUAACGCGUUAAGCAUCCCGCCUGGGGAGUACGGUCGCAAGCUGAAACUCAAA